RNAcentral lists this ribosomal RNA (200 nucleotides) under uncultured bacterium. RNAcentral describes it as "partial 16S ribosomal RNA". It matches the Rfam family "Bacterial small subunit ribosomal RNA", at positions 326 to 544 of the family's 1533-position model. The record is from RNAcentral.
ACGCUCGACACCUACGAGGCAGCAGUGGGGAAUAUUGCACAAUGGGGGAAACCCUGAUGCAGCGACGCCGCGUGGAGGAAGAAGGUCUUCGGAUUGUAAACUCCUGUUGUUGGGGAAAAAGAGGAUGGUACCCAACAAGGAAGUGACGGCUAACUACGNGCCAGCAGCCGCGGUAAUCUGAGGCGGGCGUGGCGAAGGCG